GGAGAGUUGGCUGAGUGGUCGAAAGCAUCUGACUUGAAAUCAGACGAACCAGCGAUGGUUCCCAGGGUUCGAAUCCCUGACUCUCCU
This 87-nucleotide transfer RNA is filed under the name Vulcanimicrobiota bacterium. RNAcentral describes it as "tRNA-Ser". It matches the Rfam family "tRNA". From Rfam's summary of the family: Transfer RNA (tRNA) molecules are approximately 80 nucleotides in length. Lineage: Bacteria; Bacillati; Vulcanimicrobiota. The record is from RNAcentral.